This is a long non-coding RNA of Paramisgurnus dabryanus, 1445 nucleotides long. RefSeq lists it as uncharacterized. Lineage: Eukaryota; Metazoa; Chordata; Actinopteri; Cypriniformes; Cobitidae. The record is from RefSeq and is a predicted model, not a curated record.
UCCUUCAGCCAGGGGAUGUCUGCAGAUGGGAUGCCAUUGGAUUCUUCCCACAGCCACACCCAGCCUUUCAGCUCCACCUGCAACACAUCACAUUUAAAUAGUCACUCUGUGGCAAGGUGGUGGCAGACGCAGUCUGGCUGUUGGAGGUCGAUGAUGGCUCCUCUGGGCGAGCAUCAGGGGGAGACUAACCAGCCUUGCUGGUGGAGGACAGCAGGGGCUUCUUGUGCUUGCUGCGCUUUGCCUUCUUGCUCGUUACGCAAAGGAGUCUGUUCAGGAUGCUCUGCAGUUGCUGGCACGCUGGUGGAGAGCGGCAGCUGUUCGGGACUCCUGACAAACACAGGCUGGCUGGUGGAGAUGGGCAAGAAGACUGUGUCGUCCAGAGCGUCAUUGGACCAUGACAACUGGGAGGUGGCAGCGGCUGCAGGGAAGCUUGAUUUAUUUAACCAUUAUUUAUUUAACACACCACACUUCUUACCAACUUUAUUUACAUUUCCUUGCAUUUGUACAUACAUACCUGUACAUACGAUCUUGUAUUUUGUCUUUUUAAAAUAUAUAUUUUCUUUUUUUAAUCUAUUUUUUGCAUAUUGUGUAUUUUAUUAAUUCUAAUUGUAUUAUUUUUAUUGUCUGUAUCCUGUCACACUUAUUCUGUGCUGUAGAAGCUCACCAAAACAAAUUCCUUGUAUGUGCAAACAUACCUGGCAAUAAAGCUCUGACUGAUCCUGGUUCUCUUCUUGAAGAGCUGGAAGUGGCGGCAGGAAGAUUGGAAUCUGGUGGAGGCUUCUGUGAAUUACAGGGAAGUUUUAGCUUUGAGGUGCACAUUUUUUGUUUGGAUAAAAGCUCACAGAAACUAAAACCAGAUGUAUGCAGCUUUGCCAGGCGUGCAGCACCAGCGUAAACCAGCUAAGACCACUCUUCUAAGCUUUCAGCCUGGUAAAGCUGGUUUUUCGAUCUGAACAGCUAUAAGUGGACUCUAAAAACCUCUCUAAAACCAGCCUGCUACACCAGCUCAAACCAAACUGGGAGACCAGGUCAACUAGCUUAGGUCCACGUGCUCAUCUCCACUCAAACCUUUGCAGAGAAAUGAAACAGUGACUGCAAUAUUUUGGUAGUGGAAACAUUUUUUAAGAUCUUUUCCUCUCAUCUCAUUCAGUAUUUUGUCUACCACAAUGAACCUUUUUAGUCUCUGUGGUGGUUCUUCAUGUCAACAUGUCAAAUGUCCUUUAAUGUUUUUGGGAAUUAUAGUGUUUAGUGAAUUUAACCCUGCAGUAAACCCAGCAAUAUGUAACUCUGUUGAUGCUUUAACUGCUGUAAGGGAUGAGGGAUUAUAAUCUUACUUAAUGUCUGUUUUUGACUGACUGCCAGUGUUUAACUAUUUGAUAUGCGUGAAGGAUUUUGAGCAAUUAAAAAACCUUUUGUAUGUAUCAUGCAUUAAAAUAUAUGACCUU